GGGGUCUUUGCAAAUUGGCCUUUUUAAGCUAGUCAAAUUACAUCUUGGUCCCUUACAUCUUCUGGAAUAACUAAAAACCCGGAGUUGGUUUCAUUCCUGAGUCCACCUCCUCCUUGUUCUAUUCUGCUGUUGGAAAUUUGAAAAAGGAAAUUAAAAAAAAAAACUAUGGAAGCAAAGAUAGGCAAAUUCUUCGAGUCCGUCAGCAACUUCUUCACCGGCGCCGAUCAGAUCCCGUGGUGCGACCGCGACAUCGUCGCUGUUAGUUUUUUUUCCCUUGAUUCUAGCGAAUGAUUUUGGUAUACCUUUGCCUUCUAUGCAAUUCGAAUCUGUAUGAUUAAGUUCAAAAUUUCCUCUUUCUACAACCGAGGUUUUGAUGAUGAUGGCAAUUAGGGUUUCAGUGAAAUUGCAUAUUCCUCUAUUAGUUAUUAUUUUAGGAUAAUUUUUUUUAGUUUAAUAAACAAAGCUAUGGUUCUGCCAAUUACUUGAUUGCUUUUAGUUGAAAAUCGCCAUAUGGGGCUUUCUAGAUGAUAUCAAUAUGAACUGCUAAAAGAGUCUUUGGACUCUGGUUAUGAGCCUAGAGACCUAUGAAAGUAAGCUCUACCAUCAUUUUCAGUUUCUGUUGUUUAAAGCUACGAAGGAAUGCUCUCUUAUUUUUAGGAAUCAAUACGACCUUGACUAUUUUGGAACUACUACCUGUUUCAUGUUAAUUAAUUCUUAGUUUUGUUGGUUUCUGAACUAGUAUUGAUAAUUUAUGCAAGGUCUGCGAUGCAUCCCUAAUAAAAAGGAAGGGUUCUUUUAGUAUUAGCAUUUGACCAUAGGAAUGGAAUGUAUAGUUGCUCAGACAUUCAUAAGAUCUAUUCCAACCCCCUCCCUCUCAUUUGCUUCUUUUGGAUGUUAUGUUGAAAAUCAUAUUUACAUUUUAAUAGAUAUUCAAUUUGCCUUUUCUAUCAUCUUUUUUUACUAUCAUAAGACAACAUCAUGGGCUUGGGAGAUCGUAAUGAGAUAGCCAUUAGUAAUAAAUUAUUCCCUUUGCAGUGUUCUGAAAGACUGAAACCUCUUGUGUGGUUUUGAGUUUUGACUAUCUGGACAUGGAAGCUGCUUUUUCUGGUUCUUGUUGGUUGUCUUAAUAAAUGCUGCUUAGUUGCUCCACCAACAUACACCUUUUGUUGUUGAUAAUAAUGUUGUUGUUGUUGUGUGUGUGUUUGUUUUAACGAGCUGGAUAGUUAAUAGGUUAUAUUUUGUCUCAUGAUGCUGCAUUCCGUUCCACUUAUGUUUUGUACACCAGAGGCUUUAGUCACAGUCAUGUCACACUCCAUACUUGAUUUUGUAUGUACAAUCUAAUUAUAUCCUUUUAACUUGGUGUAUCCACAGGGAUGUGAGCAAGAGGUUAUUGAAGCUGAAAAAGGUUCCUCUGAUGAGUUUAAGAAUGAAUGCAUCAUGCGUCUGUCGUGGGCUCUUGUGCAUUCAAGACAACCAGAAGAUGUACAUCGUGGCAUGGCAAUGCUGGAAU
This 1510-nucleotide unclassified non-coding RNA is filed under the name Hevea brasiliensis (rubber tree). Lineage: Eukaryota; Viridiplantae; Streptophyta; Magnoliopsida; Malpighiales; Euphorbiaceae. The record is from RNAcentral.